UAGUCCUCUUUAGCCCAUAAAACAAACUGUUUUAAUUUAAUAGUUUGAUUUAUUUUUAACUAAUUGUAUCACUAAAAUUUUGAGAGUAAGAGCUUGAUUGGUUUUCCCGCUACCACCCGCAAACGUAGCUUUUGCGAUUGGUAGCGGUUGACAGCGUUUCGAAACAAUCAUACAAACCGCUACAAAUCGAUUCAAACCGCUCCGAACUUCUUAAAAUCAAAAGCUGGUUCCAGCUAGCGUUUGCGGUUGCGGGCGGUUGCGGG
Molecule: long non-coding RNA, 263 nt
Filed under: Brassica rapa (field mustard)
Lineage: Eukaryota; Viridiplantae; Streptophyta; Magnoliopsida; Brassicales; Brassicaceae
Description: long non-coding RNA (BRAP_LNC007196)
Source: RNAcentral